Molecule: long non-coding RNA, 459 nt
Filed under: Lathyrus oleraceus (garden pea)
Lineage: Eukaryota; Viridiplantae; Streptophyta; Magnoliopsida; Fabales; Fabaceae
Description: Pisum sativum (pea) long non-coding RNA (PSAT_LNC007852)
Source: RNAcentral
GAUUAUGUAGAAAAGAUGAAACAACAACGCGAUUUCAGAAUUCACGGAUUCGGCAUCGUGUUUUGGAAUUUAAUAACAUCAUCGCGUUUUCAACCUCAACAGCGUCUUGUUUUCAUAACAAUUAGCAUCGCAUUUUCAGAGUUCAUCAUCGCAUUCUUCAACCUUCUUUGCAUUCAUGGAUUGCGAUUCCAUUAAUUCAACUACAUUCAGGGAAUCGCGGUCAUGGACAUCAUUUUAAUUCAACGAUUCAAAGCUUCAAUUCAGGAAUUCAAAUUGUGUCCAACAAUAAUUAUCGAAAUUGCAACGGUGUCGAUGCGAAAUCGAAACAAAUUUCGGAUUGAAGCUAGAAGAAGGAAGACUCACCGGUUCAGAUAUUGAUCUCUCUGUACGCUUCUUAUGUUGCAUAUCGUUGCGUCGUUUGCGAGUUGUGAUGUUAUUAUUUGAGAUUUCAGGAGUUUU